GAAGAAUGUCACUGAGUAGACAAAAUAAUGGUCAUCAGGGAAUUGGUAAAGUAAAGAGGAAAAGAAGAAUCAAGACAGUACAAUGCCAUGACAGCUCAAGUGAGAAGACUUUUCAUAAGGAGAGGGGAGACAACCCCAUGAAUGAGCCAUGUAGGUCAAGAAGAAUGAAGGCUGAGAUCAGUGCUGCAGAAAUCACAGGUAGCACAAGGCAAUCUGGAGCUCAGCAGUCCGGAGCUGGUAUAAUGACUCCAUCGUCCUUCUGUCUUGGUCCUUUUGAGUGUGGCUCCAUCAUCCUCAGUGAGUGGCUUCUUCCUCACGGUUCAAGAUAGAUGUCUGAUGUUUAGUCUUAUUCCUGCCAGCAGGAAGGAAGAGCAGAAGAAUGGCAUACCCACCCCCAACCUCCUGUUUUGAGACAGAGUCUCACUUUAUUGUCCAUGCUAGAGUAUAGUGAUCAUAGCUCACUGCAGCUUCAACUUCCUGGGCUUGAGGGAUCCUCCCACCUUAGCCUCCCAAGUAGCUGUGUCUACAGGAGCACACCACCAAGCCCAGCUAAUUUUUGUAUUUUUUGUAGAGACAGGGGUCUCACUGUGUUGCCCAGACUUGUGUCCAGUUACUGAGCUCAAGUGAUCCUCCUGCCUUAGCAUCCCAACGUGCUGGGACUACAGGAAUGAGCCACCACAAGUGGCUUCCUUUCCUUUUAAGGACACAUCUCAGAAGUUGCAUACAUCUGAUUAUAUCCCAUUAGCUAUAACUCAGUCACAUAUAGCACCCAGUAGUAAUAGAAACUGAGGAAUGUGCAUGGUUUAAAAAUCAUGGGUUCUGCUACUAAGGAGGAAGAGAGAACAGAUAUUGAGAGACAACCGGAAGUCUCCAUUUCUAUGGCCCAUUCUAAUGUUUGCCAGACCUUGCUGGUCAGUGAAUUUCUAUUUUCAUUUAAAUUGGUUUUUCAUACUCCAGCAUAUUUGUUCCUAUUGAGUUCUCAAUAAAUAUCAAUAGAUUCCAUUUUUAAUGUAGCAAAAUAUAAGUUCCAAGCUCUGGGAGGUUUCAUAUAUAUUAUAUAUAAUCAAAAAUGUUGGGGGCCAUUUUUAUAUAAAACAUAAUGGUCUCCAACUUUUUUGAUCAUGAACCACAAUCAAUACAGUUUAAUCCCCCA
RNAcentral lists this long non-coding RNA (1153 nucleotides) under Homo sapiens (human). Its description in RNAcentral is "HSALNT0308219". The record is from RNAcentral. Lineage: Eukaryota; Metazoa; Chordata; Mammalia; Primates; Hominidae.